UACGGGGGGGGCAAGCGUUGUUCGGAAUUACUGGGCGUAAAGGGCUCGUAGGCGGCCAACUAAGUCGGAUGUGAAAUCCCCAGGCUUAACCUGGGAACUGCAUCCGAUACUGGAUGGCUUGAAUCCGGGAGAGGGAUGCAGAAUUCCAGGUGUAGCGGUGAAAUGCGUAGAUAUCAGGAGGAACACCGGUGGCGAAGGCGGCUAUCUGGACAGUAACCGACGCUGAGGCGCGAAAGCUAGGGGAGCAAACAGG
RNAcentral lists this ribosomal RNA (253 nucleotides) under uncultured bacterium. Its description in RNAcentral is "partial 16S ribosomal RNA". It matches the Rfam family "Bacterial small subunit ribosomal RNA", at positions 524 to 776 of the family's 1533-position model. The record is from RNAcentral.